GUGGAUAUCUGGAGGUUUAGGAGCAGAGAUUUUCUGCAAGUAAUUUCUGAUGCUGAGUUUCCCAGACAAUUCCUCUCCACCCAGAAGUUUAAAGACCUGACCGUUGGCAAACACACACCGAGAAGGCGCCCGAAAAAGAAAGAGAACAAAUCCAAACACGCCCCCAGAACUUCCAGCUGAAGGAAGAGACUGAGAAACUCAGCAGGAACAGCCUGUCACAGAUCUGCAGGGAACAGCAGGGCAGACUCCACGGUGGUUCUUUAGCCCACCUCUUGUCUCCCCAUAAAGAGCAGGAGGUACACACUCAUUCCAGGCCCAAGACCUCUGGCACGGAGCUCUCUUACCUUUUGCUAAUUCUGUAAUGUGCCGUCUCCAAGGCUCCCGUUAUGGGGUUUGAA
Long non-coding RNA from Neopelma chrysocephalum (saffron-crested tyrant-manakin), 398 nucleotides. RefSeq lists it as uncharacterized. Lineage: Eukaryota; Metazoa; Chordata; Aves; Passeriformes; Pipridae. The record is from RefSeq and is a predicted model, not a curated record. The transcript is spliced from 3 exons.